RNAcentral lists this long non-coding RNA (480 nucleotides) under Daucus carota (carrot). Its description in RNAcentral is "long non-coding RNA (DCAR_LNC006246)". Lineage: Eukaryota; Viridiplantae; Streptophyta; Magnoliopsida; Apiales; Apiaceae. The record is from RNAcentral.
GCUUAGUGCAGUGGUCUGGUUCACAAGCGACUAACACUGAAGUCAAACAUUGUACCGCCUUUGUCAGCAAACAUUGAUCAGUCGGUUCCGGGUUAGUUUAUGCUUCAGUUUGUUGAUUAUAAAUAACCAACCAAGAUAUNUGGAGACUAGACAUUUGACUUAGCUUGGCUUUGAAACAAAUGACUUGUUAUGACUGGAUCAAUUCUUCGAUCGAUAAAUACUUUGCAAAGCUCCGUACGUGCUGACGCUUAGUGCACUGGUCUGGUUCACAAGCGACUAACACUGAAGUCAAACAUUGUACCGUCUUUGUCAGCAAACAUUGAUCAGUCGGUUCCGGGUUAGUUUAUGCUUCAGUUUGUUGAUUAUAAAUAACCAACCAAGAUAUAUAGAAAUAUCUUGCUUCAGGGGUUGCACUGAAAUCUUUCGAGUACUUGGACAACAUCUUCAUUGCUUCCACAAUCUUGAAUACUUCAAUCUUUA